This 363-nucleotide ribosomal RNA is filed under the name Triticum aestivum (bread wheat). RNAcentral's name for it is "partial small subunit ribosomal RNA". The record is from RNAcentral. Lineage: Eukaryota; Viridiplantae; Streptophyta; Magnoliopsida; Poales; Poaceae.
AUGAAUAUGAAGCUCACACUCGAGAGUGGUUUGCAAACAUGCCCGGUGUUCGGCAACCUCAUAAGGCUGGUGCUGGGCGAAUGGUGCAUGGCCUCCGACUUCUCUCCGCUGCUCUUCAUUCUCCGGCGCUCGCCUAAACUGAAGGAUCUGACCUUUAAGCUUGGAAUGGAGCAGUGUGUACUCUGCAAGGAUGCUGCUGAUCGUGAUCUGGCUCCAAGGAAGGAAUCAUCGUCGGGCGGCUGUCCAAGGAUAGAGAGGACCGUGAUAUACUGUGGCAAAGAUGAUCCGAGGGUCAGCGCGCUUGUGCAGGUGCUGCUACCGAUUGUUAUCCCAGGUGGAGAAAUCAGCAUCAAAGGUCACUAG